RNAcentral lists this ribosomal RNA (115 nucleotides) under uncultured bacterium. RNAcentral describes it as "partial 16S ribosomal RNA". It matches the Rfam family "Bacterial small subunit ribosomal RNA", at positions 357 to 471 of the family's 1533-position model. The record is from RNAcentral.
AGGAAUAUUGCGCAAUGGGGGAAACCCUGACGCAGCGACGCCGCGUGAGUGAGGAAGGUUUUCGGAUCGUAAAGCUCUGUCAGAAGGGAAGAAGUGUUAUAUGUUUAAUACGCAU